AAUCAACGCUGGCGGCGCGCUUAACACAUGCAAGUCGAACGAGAAAGUGGAGCAAUCCAUGAGUACAGUGGCGCACUGGUGAGUAACACGUGGGUAAUUUACCUCUUUGUGGGGAAUAACCCUGGGAAACCGGGGAUAAUACCGCAUACGUCCGAGAGGAGAAAGCCGAAAGGCGCAGAGAGAGAAGCCCGCGCCCGAUUAGCUAGUUGGUGAGGUAAAAGCCCACCAAGGCGACGAUCGGUAGCCGGCCUGAGAGGGCACACGGCCACACUGGCACUGAAACACGGGCCAGACUCCUACGGGAGGCAGCAGUGGGGAAUCUUGCACAAUGGGGGAAACCCUGAUGCAGCGACGCCGCGUGAACGAUGAAGCCCUUCGGGGUGUAAAGUUCUUUCGACAGGAACGAUAAUGACGGUACCUGAAGAAGAAGCUGCGGCUAACUACGUGCCAGCAGCCGCGGUAAUACGUAGGCAGCAAGCGUUGUUCGGAAUUACUGGGCGUAAAGAGUGCGUAGGUGGUUGGCUAAGUUUGGUGUGAAAUCUCCCGGCUCAACUGGGAGGGUGCGCCGAAAACUGGCUAGCUAGAGUGUGGGAGAGGGACGUGGAAUUCCUGGUGUAGCGGUGAAAUGCGUAGAUAUCAGGAGGAACACCUGCGGUGUAGACGGCGUCCUGGAC
RNAcentral lists this ribosomal RNA (674 nucleotides) under uncultured bacterium. RNAcentral describes it as "bacterial SSU rRNA". It matches the Rfam family "Bacterial small subunit ribosomal RNA", at positions 28 to 734 of the family's 1533-position model. The record is from RNAcentral.